This 1139-nucleotide ribosomal RNA is filed under the name human gut metagenome. Its description in RNAcentral is "bacterial LSU rRNA". It matches the Rfam family "Bacterial large subunit ribosomal RNA", at positions 1131 to 2300 of the family's 2925-position model. The record is from RNAcentral.
UGCGUAAUAGCUCACUGGUCGAGAGGUCCUGCGCCGAAAAUGUCCGGGGCUGAAACAUGACACCGAAGCUGAGGAACCGAAAGGUUGGUAGAGGAGCAUUCGUAAAGGGAAGAAGCUGUACCGGAAGGAGCAGUGGACGUUUACGAAGAGAGAAUGCCGGAAUGAGUAGCGAGAUGGAGGUGGGAAUCCUCCAGGCCGAAUAUCCAAGGUUUCCAGGGUAAAGCUGAUCUGCCCUGGGUAAGUCGGGGCCUAAGGCGAGGUCGAAGGACGUAGCCGAUGGACAACAGGUUGAAAUUCCUGUACUGCAUGAUGACAGAACUGUGGGGACACGGGCAGAAAGCCUGGGCCGGAAAUGGAAAAGCCGGUGCAAGCGGAGGAGCCGUGUAGGAGGAAAAACCCCUAUGCAAGGCAGAGCCGUGACGCGGAGCGAAAUAAAAGUAGCGAAGCAGGCGGGCUGGCCGUCAAGAAAAGCCGCUAUUGUUCAUCAUGUACCCGUACCGCAAACCGACACAGGUGGAUGAGGAGAGAAUCCUAAGGCCGGCGGAAGAAGUAUUGUUAAGGAACUCGGCAAAAUGACCCCGUAACUUCGGGAGAAGGGGUGCCAGGGAAACCUGGCCGCAGAGAACUGGUCCAAGCAACUGUUUAACAAAAACACAGGUUUAUGCAAAACCGCAAGGUGAAGUAUAUGAGCUGACGCCUGCCCGGUGCUGGAAGGUUAAGAGGAGAGGUUAGCGGAAGCGAAGCUUUGAAUCCAAGCCCCAGUAAACGGCGGCCGUAACUAUAACGGUCCUAAGGUAGCGAAAUUCCUUGUCGGGUAAGUUCCGACCCGCACGAAAGGCGUAAUGAUUUGGACGCUGUCUCGACAAUACAUCCGGUGAAAUUGAAGUACCAGUGAAGAUGCUGGUUACCCGCGCCAGGACGGAAAGACCCCAUGGAGCUUUACUCCAGUUUGAUACUGGGAUUCGGUGCUGCAUGUACAGGAUAGGUGGGAGGCUGAGAAUUAAGGACGCCAGUCUUUAAGGAGCCGGUGUUGGGAUACCACCCCUGCAGUAUUGGAUUUCUAACCUGCGGCCGUAAGCCGGCCGGGGGACAAUGUCAGACGGGGAGUUUGACUGGGGCGGUCGCCUCCGAAAGGGUAU